AUAAUAAUAAAUAAUAAUAACAGCAUGGCAGCCCACAGUAUCUUUCUUUCUGGCUUUACCAUGAUGGCAUGAUCUUCCCAAAACACUUGACAAAAAACUUAGAAGUCCUAACUCCAAAACCUAAAUCCCAAAACAACAAAAGCCCCCUUCCCUCCCAGAAGAUCCAAUCCUCACUCUUUUUCUAUUCAUAUUUGUUUCUAUAGCCACUACUGUCACUCUGUGUAACACUGAACAAAUAUAUCCAUACACUGCUCCUUUUUGCUUAAUUCAUGUUCUUAAUUAUCUCAAGAUUGCUUUUUUGAGUUUCAUCUUGUUGGUUUUUCUAUUUUCCACAUGGGUUUUGAAGAUUUCUUCAACUCGGUGCCUGGUAUCAUUGUUUUAGCAUAUGGGUAUGCUUCUGUUUGAUAAAAUUCCUCUGCGAGUUUUCCAUGUGUAAUGGGUUUCUUGACGUUAUUGCAUUGGAUCUUGAGGAUGGAACAUGGAUAUGUUUCAAUUUGAGGAAGAAACCAAGACAUGCUCUCUCUGCGAAACACUCGCAGAUUCUGCAACUUUUCUGCCUCCGUUGCAUUAAGUCGUAGUCCUGCAGCUGUAUCUAACCGCAUUCAGAAUCAAAACCAGAAACCUUUGGAGGAACCUGCACUUGUUAAGCUUAAAGCUGAGAGAGACCCUGAAAAGCUAUUUAAUCUUUUCAAGGCCAAUGCUGAGAAUAGGCUUGUUGUGGAGAAUCGGUUUGCAUUUGAAGAUACCGUUUCUCGCUUGGCUGGUGCUAACAGGUUUGAUUACAUUGAGCAUUUACUUGAGCACCAGAAGCCUCUUCCACAAGGUAGGCGCGAAGGGUUCAUGGUGAGGAUUAUAAUGUUGUAUGGAAAGGCUGGAAUGAUAAAGCAUGCUAUUGAUACUUUCUAUAAUAUGCAUUUGCACGGCUGUAAAAGGACUGUUAAAUCCGUCAAUGCUGCACUGAAGGUUUUGACUGGAACCCGUGAUUUAGCAGCAAUCGAGGCCUUUGUUAAUGAGGCGCCGAAGAAGUUUGAUAUUGAGCUAGACAUAUUUUCUGUUAACAUCAUUGUUAAGGCUUUAUGUGAAACGGGAAAUUUGGAUAAAGCAUAUUUACUCAUGGUAGAGAUGGAAAAGUCAGGGGUAAGGCCAGAUGUCAUCACAUACACCACACUUAUGUCAGCAUUUUAUAAGAACAACAGGUCAGAGAUUGGCAAUGGAUUGUGGAAUCUUAUGGUGCUUAAGGGAUGUUUACCCAAUCUCGCAACAUUUAAUGUUAGAAUUCAGUAUUUGGUCAACAUAAGACGGGCAUGGCAUGCAAAUGAUGUCAUGCGUUUGAUGCUAAAAAUUGGGAUUGUGCCUGAUGAGGUUACAUAUAAUUUGGUUAUAAAAGGCUUUUUCCAGACUGGUAAACUUGAGAUGGCCAAAAUGGUGUAUUUUUCUUUACGUGGCAAGGGGCAUAAAUUUAAUGUUAAAGUUUACCAAACAAUGGUUCAUUAUUUAUGCAAGGGUGGGGAGUUUGAUUUGGCUUAUACAAUGUGUAGAGAUUGCAUGAGAAAUAACUGGUUUUUGAAUGUGGAUACCAUUCAUACGCUGCUUGAAGGGCUGAAGAAGAAUGGGCAGCUUAACAAGGCUAAGGUGAUCGUGACUUUAGCUCAGAAGAGAGUGCCUCCUUUUCCUUCUAGUCAUUUGCGCUCCUUGCAAGCUGUAUUGUCUAGAAGUUGAAUUGAGGUUAUGGAAAUGCUCAGAUAAGCUUGGUUUUGUAACACCACAGCCACACAGCAGGGGAUAUUCAUUUCAUUUUGUCCUCUGAUACAUCCACAGAACCAUAUGGAUAUCCUUGUCCUUAAACAUCAAACAAAGGGAACGUUCCCUUUAUUCAAUUAAUUUGUUGUAGCUUUUAAUAAGUUCCUGAUGAAAUGAAAUUUCUAAACUUCUAACUGGAUGGUGCCAUGAUUCUUUUUCAAUUGACAAAGAGCUGGUUAGCCAGCCAAAAGAGUGUGUUAUCUCUUUGUUAUCUAUUGCUUAGAUGCCAACAUUGGACAAAAGUUGCAAAUCAAAAUUGGCACAGCCUGAAAGGGAAGAGAGAAGUGCUGGAGAAAGGAUACUGUUGUGAAGUAAUGGGGUGACGGUUGCAAGGUGGAAUGUUUAAUGGUGCUCUUUGGCAGCAGAAAUUGAUUCUGAAGUGUUUCUUAGUUUAUAGCUUUCUAGUAGAAAUUUGAUGUCUCAUUUGACUGAGGCAGUCAGUGUUCCACGGAUUAAUUUUUCAUGGCUAGAUUGUGGUUGCAGAUCUGGAUAAAGUGGGAUAACUAGCCAGUGUUGUCAAAGGCGAAAAUGCCCAAGGUGUUAGGUGAACGCCGGAAUGAACCAAGAUGAUAUGUUAUAACUUCAAAAAAUAUAUGUAUGAUAUUAUAUACAUAAUCAUUUAAAGUUACAUUUUUUUCA
RNA transcript from Populus nigra (black poplar), 2439 nucleotides. It is a transcript of the gene named pentatricopeptide repeat-containing protein At1g80150, mitochondrial-like, with no coding region annotated. The transcript has 4 exons. Lineage: Eukaryota; Viridiplantae; Streptophyta; Magnoliopsida; Malpighiales; Salicaceae. The record is from RefSeq and is a predicted model, not a curated record.